GACGAACGCUGGCGGCGUGCCUAAUACAUGCAAGUUGAGCGAUGAAGAUUGGUGCUUGCACCAAUUUGAAGAGCAGCGAACGGGUGAGUAACGCGUGGGGAAUCUGCCUUUGAGCGGGGGACAACAUUUGGAAACGAAUGCUAAUACCGCAUAAUAACUUUAAACAUAAGUUUUAAGUUUGAAAGAUGCAAUUGCAUCACUCAAAGAUGAUCCCGCGUUGUAUUAGCUAGUUGGUGAGGUAAAGGCUCACCAAGGCGAUGAUACAUAGCCGACCUGAGAGGGUGAGCGGCCACAUUGGGACUGAGACACGGCCCAAACUCCUACGGGAGGCAGCAGUAGGGAAUCUUCGGCAAUGGACGAAAGUCUGACCGAGCAACGCCGCGGGAGUGAAGAAGGUUUUCGGAUCGUAAAACUCUGUUGGUAGAGAAGAACGUUGGUGAGAGUGGAAAGCUCAUCAAGUGACGGUAACUACCCAGAAAGGGACGGCUAACUACGUG
RNAcentral lists this ribosomal RNA (497 nucleotides) under uncultured bacterium. RNAcentral's name for it is "partial 16S ribosomal RNA". It matches the Rfam family "Bacterial small subunit ribosomal RNA", at positions 28 to 507 of the family's 1533-position model. The record is from RNAcentral.